This 887-nucleotide ribosomal RNA is filed under the name Grylloblatta gurneyi. RNAcentral's name for it is "eukaryotic LSU rRNA". It matches the Rfam family "Eukaryotic large subunit ribosomal RNA", at positions 1084 to 1780 of the family's 3401-position model. The record is from RNAcentral. Lineage: Eukaryota; Metazoa; Arthropoda; Insecta; Grylloblattodea; Grylloblattidae.
GGCUUGCUUGAACGAAAAAAUUUUUUUUUCAUGAAGUCUGAGAUGGAUAAGAGAUGCCAAGUGGGCCAUUUUUGGUAAGCAGAACUGGCGCUGUGGGAUGAACCAAACGCAGAGUUAAGGCGCCUAAAUUGACGUUUAUGGGAUACCAUGAAAGGCGUUGGUUGCUUAGGACAGCAGGACGGUGGCCAUGGAAGUCGGAAUCCGCUAAGGAGUGUGUAACAACUCACCUGCCGAAGCAACUAGCCCUGAAAAUGGAUGGCGCUGAAACGUAAUGCCUAUACUCUGCCGUCAGCGGCAUAGUGAAUUGAGGAGGCCUGCUACCGUAAGGUGUGUGGGCAACCUUGGUUGCGAAGCCCUGACGAGUAGGAGGGUCGCGGCGGUGUGCGCAGAAGGGUCUGGGCGUGAGCCUGCCUGGAGCCGCCGUCGGUGCAGAUCUUGGUGGUAGUAGCAAAUACUCCAGCGAGGCCCUGGAGGACUGAUGUGGAGAAGGGUUUCGUGUGAACAGCCGUUGCACACGAGUCAGUCGAUCCUAAGCCCUAGGAGAAAUCCGAAACGAUGGUUGUUGAUCUAACCCAACACCGUCGGGCGAAAGGGAAUCCGGUUCCUAUUCCGGAACCCGGCUGCGGAACCGGUGUACGUCGGGUGUAUCAAGCCCCCUUUUCUGUCCAGUAGUCUUAGCCCGAGUGUUCACUUCGGUGACUCGCAGGCGGGCGCUGGGCUUUGUAUUUGGGGGAUCUUGUAUGCACUCGUCGGGGUAACCCAACAUGACCCGAAGACGCCGUCGGGAGAUCCGGGCAGAGUUUUCUGUUCUGCAUGAGCGUUCGAGUUCCCUGGAAUCCUCUAGCAGGGAGAUAGGGUUUGGAACGCGAAGAGCACCGCAGUUGCGG